This is a long non-coding RNA of Pristis pectinata (smalltooth sawfish), 195 nucleotides long. RefSeq lists it as uncharacterized. The transcript has 3 exons. The record is from RefSeq and is a predicted model, not a curated record. NCBI's taxonomy places the organism in Eukaryota, Metazoa, Chordata, Chondrichthyes, Rhinopristiformes, Pristidae.
AUUUUAGCGAAGCAAUGGCAAGUUCCGAAAACGGCGUCCAGUUGGGAACCCAAGAAACAGGCGGACCCUUCCCGUCUGAGGAAGAGAAUGGUUGUCGUUGCCGUGGUGACGGUCUGUUUCUGUUCGUGGCGGCUGUGGUGACGUGGGUCGUUGUCGUGAUAUAUGUCAAGAAAACUGGUACUGAACUUUACCAUG